RNAcentral lists this long non-coding RNA (1803 nucleotides) under Apteryx haastii (Great spotted kiwi). Its description in RNAcentral is "lncRNA (ENSAHAG00000019694.1)". The record is from RNAcentral. Lineage: Eukaryota; Metazoa; Chordata; Aves; Apterygiformes; Apterygidae.
AUGGGAGCUGCCUGUCCCGGGGAAUCAGGUCCUCGGGAGCCAAAACGGGUGCAGGUGGCACAGGGGAGGUGGGAAGAGAGGCCGAACGAGGCAGGGACACAGGACAGCAAGGAGCUACAGACGCAUGGGCAAGACCCGCUCAGCCAGCUGUCUGAGAGACAAGGGGCCAGCGCAGGGCUCGCAGGGUGCAGUCUGCAUCCGAGGUGCCAGAACAAAACCGAGGCACUUSUGGGAAGACCUGCUGGCCUGUCAGCAGAGAGACGGCGUCCACCUUGGCCCAGGCUGCCAACAGAGUUCAACCAGCUGAACUUCUGCCCAGGAAAGCAAGCCCUGGCAUGCAGCCCCAAACCCAGAGAUCCUUCAGCCCUGCAGAGCUUGGGCUGGAGGUUUCGCACAUCCCAAGCUAGCGAUACCCCCGUUCCCACACAAGCUCUGCUCGUGAGCCCAGCCUGCUGCACACACCCGCUGCAAUCGUGGUACACGCAACAGGGGCUGCAGCAAAACGCGCCUCGCGUUCCCUGCCAGGUCCAGGGGGCAGGCGCCACCGCUUCGGAUUUCAGGUCAGGCAGCACCGCACUGGAAAUGGGAGCGGCAGACGGAGCACUUUUAUCUCGUCCUAUAAAAAGUGCCCUUCGAGUCAGUGACACAAAACCCGGCCUCGACACAAGCCACCGACUCGCGUGCAGCCGGAGACACGCCAGUGCGGAAACGGGGCGGCCCGGCAGCCCCCGGAGAAGGGACAARGCCGCAGCCAGGCUGCAGGGGGGCGACUUCAGGGCAGCCCCCGCUCUGCCAGCUAAGCCCCAAAGGAUGCAAGCGCCCGGCACCCGGCGCAGCCCACCCCAGCUCCACCACCCUCCCGGAUGCCCCAAGCAGACCCGAGGCACCCGGCACGGCCCUGCUCUCCCCGGGGGGCUCCCGGAGAGCCGGGGGCUCUCUCCAUCCGUCCCCGGCAGCAGCCACCGCAGCACAUCUACCGGCUUGUACCUGCCCCUGGGGCACCGGGCCCUGCUUGCCUGCCCCACGCAUCCAGCCCCGGUGCACGGGGUCCUGCUGCCCCAUGCAACCAUCUCUCCCGUGCGGCGGGCCCCGCGCCCACCCCUGCCCCCGGUGCCCCGGGCCGCGCUUACUCCCUUUCCCCUUGCAUCGGGCCCUGCCCGUGCAUCCGCCACCAUGCACCGGUGCACCGGCCCUGCCCGCCCCCUUCCGCGGUGCACAGAGCCCUGCCCCUUCCCCGGUGCACCGGGGCCGGCCUGCCCCCUUUCCCGCUGCACCUGGCCCUGCCCCUUUCUCCGGUGCACCGUGCCCUGCCCGCCUCCUUUCCCCGGUGCACCGGGCCCGGCCUGCCCCCUUCCCCGGUGCACCGUGCCCUGCCCGCCUCCUCUCCCCGGUGCACCGGGUCCUGCCCGCCCCCUUUCCCGCUGCACCUGGCCCUGCCCCUUUCCCCGGUGCACCGGGCCCGGCCUGCCCCUUUCCCCGGUGCACCGGGCCCGGCCUGCCUCCUCUCCCCGGUGCACCGGGCCCUGCCUGCCUCCUCUCCCCGGUGCACCGGGCCCGGCCCGCCUCCUUUCCCCGGUGCACCGGGCCCUGCCUGCCCCUUUCCCCGGUGCACCGGGCCCUGCCUGCCUCCUUUUCCCACUGCACUGGCCCUGCCCGCCCCCUUUCCCCGGUGCACCGGGUUUUGCCCCCUUCCGCCGUGCACCGGGCCCUGCCCGCCCCGUGCAACCACCCCCUUGCCCGGGCUCGGGCCCCGGCGCCGCCGCUCCCGCACCUACCGGAGGCGCCGCCCCCGCCGCUCGCCCG